AAGCACCAGGUAAUAUCAGCUG
This 22-nucleotide microRNA is filed under the name Brachionus plicatilis. RNAcentral describes it as "Bpl-Mir-29-o3_3p (mature (guide))". Lineage: Eukaryota; Metazoa; Rotifera; Eurotatoria; Ploima; Brachionidae. The record is from RNAcentral.